Molecule: ribosomal RNA, 449 nt
Filed under: Synergistetes bacterium oral taxon 362
Lineage: Bacteria; Thermotogati; Synergistota
Description: bacterial SSU rRNA
Rfam family: Bacterial small subunit ribosomal RNA
Source: RNAcentral
GAUGAACGCUGGCGGCGUGCGUAACACAUGCAAGUUGGACGACGGUGCUAUGAAGUGGUAACACGGAAUGGUAUACGGAGUAGCGGACGGGUGAGUAAAGCAUGAGGAGCUGUCCUGUUGAGGGGGAUAACGUUCGGAAACGGACCCUAAUACCCCAUAGGCCGAGAGGUUAAAGGCAGAGAUGCGCGACAGGAGGUACUCGUGUCCUAUCAGCUGGUUGGUGAGGUAACGGCUCACCAAGGCAACGACGGGUAGCCGGCCUGAGAGGGUGACCGGCCACACUGGAACUGAGACACGGUCCAGACUCCUACGGGAGGCAGCAGUGGGGAAUAUUGGGCAAUGGGAGAAAUCCUGACCCAGCGACGCCGCGUGAACGAAGACGGCCUUCGGGUUGUAAAGUUCUUUUAUGUGGGAAGAAGGAAGUGACGGUACCACAUGAAUAAGCCCCG